UACGGAGGGAGCUAGCGUUGUUCGGAAUUACUGGGCGUAAAGCGCGCGUAGGCGGCUUUGUAAGUUAGAGGUGAAAGCCCGGGGCUCAACUCCGGAACUGCCUUUAAGACUGCAUCGCUUGAAUCCAGGAGAGGUGAGUGGAAUUCCCGGUGUAGCGGUGAAAUGCGUAGAGAUCGGGAGGAACACCAGCGGCGAAGGCGGCGACCUGGACAAGUACUGACACUCAACUACGAAAGCGUGGGGAGCAAACAGG
RNAcentral lists this ribosomal RNA (253 nucleotides) under uncultured bacterium. RNAcentral's name for it is "partial 16S ribosomal RNA". It matches the Rfam family "Bacterial small subunit ribosomal RNA", at positions 524 to 776 of the family's 1533-position model. The record is from RNAcentral.